AAAGGAAGGCAGAAUUGCCACAAGGAAACACCUUUAGAAAAACAAUAACAAAACAAAACAAAACAACAACAACAAAACAAAAACAAAACAAACAAACAAAAAAAAAACAGGAGAGAGCUCUGCAAGUUUAGCUGCCACAACAAGAAACUUAAAAGAGAGAAGGGUACUAGAGGUAGACUGAAUAGCAUCAAAAUAUCCAUAAAAAGCUUCUUCUUUACAGCUGAGAAGUGUAAGGAAAGGUGUGAUGCAGGGAUGCUGGGUUUCUGCAUGACACAUUCAGUCUCCUACCAGUUCAAGAAAAUCUUGGGUGCACCAGAGAACAAUUCGUGACACCGUUCCUUAGAACAGCCCCAAGCUGAAGAGAUCUUCCCCAAGGAACACAACAGCCACUGCUGUCACAGGGAAAACAAUAUAGCACCGAAGCUGUAUCAUCUUCACUCUCUGUGCCUGAGUGCUGUGCCAGAUCUCAGUCUGUUCCUAUAGAUACAAAGGAUCAGAAAUUGGAAACGCUUCAGAAAAAGAAAAGAUCAGUCGCAGCAGCACCGAUUUCCUGUUCUCAUGCAGAUGUCUAUGUACAAGGUCACACUCUGCACAUUGACUUCGCUUGGAUCACAACGUGGGCACAGCCUGACGCAGCAGUGAAGCUGCAGGGAUGGCAAGCUGCCGCUGUAGGCAGCCCCUCCAUCCCUUGCCCCCAGCUAUGUGGUCUUGCUGUUUCCCAUAUGACAGUGUUUGUGCUUGUCUGAGCCUUCCAUGAGCCAGCCAGGAGACUGAGAGCAGCUUAAAAAUUACCUCUAGAAGAAAAAGAAAUCAAUGGGUGCUUUUCAGCAAACACAAGCAAAUGUCACAGAGGAAGGGAAGACUGCAGAAGAAAGACUUCAUGUAUGUAGCAGAAGAAGAUGACUAUGGAGGUAACCAACCUGCUAUUCGGGUCACACAUAGUGGCUGUGACAGGAAAAAUCCUGUCAGAGAUAAGCAGAAAGUACCACAGCUGAGGAAGGCCAUGAGCCGUAGGGACUCAGAGUAAAUUUCUCCUGUCCAGGACUCUAAAUUGACAGAAAGGAACAACAGGGCCCACAUGGCUUGUUAGGAUGAGAGGUGGGCAAAGGCUUAUGUGCUGGGAUCUGGUGUCUCAUGAGGUAGUGUGUGUCAGUAACUUCAUGUACAGACAUCUACCUCACACUCCAUGUGCUCUAAUACGCUGCUGUAGGGGCCUCAGCAUGGUGUAGCUCCUACAUUGCUUUCUUCACGUGAACCUCCCAGGUGGACAGGCUGUCCUGUGCAGAGGCAGAAGCGACACGCAAACAUCACAAGACAAGCAGAGCUGGCAUCACUCCACUUGCAAGGUUACCUUGGUUUCGUGUGCGACACAGAAGUCACAGCUAAGAAAAGCCCCAUUAUACGUCCUUGAUAGCAUGAUUGUAAUGGCACCGGGACAAAGAAAAUGAUGAGCUGGAUCCCAAGAGAAGAAACGUGCAGGCUGAAGCUUCAAGUGGUGCAGAUAAAAAUCGCUCCUUUCAACUGAAGCACAAACUCCUGGUCCUGCCUACAGUACGCCUAAGGCAAGUGGUUCAUAGCAGACACACCGGCGAGGUGAACAGCCAACCCAGAGCAGACAAUGGAUUGCUGCUGCAUUGCAGGAAAGGGGUAGUAUGAGGAGAUGUUUCAUAUAAAUCCCUCUCUAUAGCACCUGCGUCAAAUUGCUCAGAAAACAGGGGGAGAGAACAAUAAAUCAAUAAGAGGCAGGAGAUAAGGUCA
RNAcentral lists this long non-coding RNA (1758 nucleotides) under Anas platyrhynchos platyrhynchos (common mallard). RNAcentral's name for it is "lncRNA (ENSAPLG00000025100.1)". Lineage: Eukaryota; Metazoa; Chordata; Aves; Anseriformes; Anatidae. The record is from RNAcentral.